This 232-nucleotide ribosomal RNA is filed under the name uncultured bacterium. RNAcentral describes it as "partial 16S ribosomal RNA". It matches the Rfam family "Bacterial small subunit ribosomal RNA", at positions 99 to 334 of the family's 1533-position model. The record is from RNAcentral.
CGGACGGGUGGGUAAUGUCUGGGAAACUGCCUGAUGGAGGGGGAUAACUACUGGAAACGGUAGCUAAUACCGCAUAACGUCGCAAGACCAAAGAGGGGGACCUUAGGGCCUCUUGCCAUCGGAUGUGCCCAGAUGGGAUUAGCUAGUAGGUGGGGUAACGGCUCACCUAGGCGACGAUCCCUAGCUGGUCUGAGAGGAUGACCAGCCACACUGGAACUGAGACACGGUCCAG